Gadus macrocephalus (Pacific cod) is the source of this 1001-nucleotide long non-coding RNA. RefSeq lists it as uncharacterized. Lineage: Eukaryota; Metazoa; Chordata; Actinopteri; Gadiformes; Gadidae. The record is from RefSeq and is a predicted model, not a curated record. The transcript has 3 exons.
CCUCCAUGUUAGCAAAUUGAAAAAAAGCAGAGGCCCGGCAGACUGGAGGGGGUCCACCUCUGCAGCCCUCACAGAGGCUGAGGAGAUGGCCCUCAGCCAACAGAGUAUGGGUCAUGUGGCUGAGGGCAUCCCUGGGGGGAGCUCCUCUGAUCCCCCCCACCCCCCCGGAUAGAAGUGCCUUUAUAAGAGGUUGGUUAUUCAAAAUAAUUAAAUAUGUACACGCAACCCAGCGGGUUGCAAAUUAGAUGGGGCAAUAUUCUGGCUCAAGUAAUAAUUUCACUGUCUAAUCAUCUUCUUCCAGUUACUGAUGGCGUCAUCGCCCCACUUGAACCAGAUGCCCUCACCAACCUCCAUGCAAUUGAAGAUGAUGGAGAAACAUUGUCUGCGGCAUUCGAAAGGGAAGAGAAAAGGCCUAUUGAGGAUGAAAUCGAAUCCAAUGAGAGGCCAUCCACUUCUAAAUCACAGCUUACCUCUGUAAGAUUCUCCCUGGAAUUAUAAUGAAACGCUCUACUUGGCACUGUGAAAUCCAAUCUCAUCUUUUGCAUUCCUAUAGCUUCCAGUCAAAGACUUAUAUAAAAUCUAUCUAGAAAAGCAAAUACACAAAGCAGACUUGGAAAUGGACCACCUUAGGCAAAAGAUGCAAAAGGAUGGUUUGGAGAUCCACAUUUUGGAACAUAAGUUAAAGGUGGGUGAGGUGCAAACUGGGAUACUGUUCCCUGCUCUAAAAACAUACCCAAUAUGAAUGACAUUUUUUGUGCUUUCAGGAAAUAAAGAAAUCCUCAUAAAAAGUAGAUUGUCUUUAUUAGAACAUGGGCUGUGGUGGGACAAGUUAUUUUGUUGAACAGUUUACUCAAAGGGUUUUACUCCAGUGAACAAUGCAGACGAUUAUGCUGAGCAUGUGCAUGUAGAGAAGAAGCAUCUGGUUAAAAGCAGUACCAGGGUAUUUUCUGCCCUGCAUUCUUAAUAUGCGUUUCUUGACUUGCAGCAGUUAUAGGUCCGUG